GGCCCCGAUGUUGCAAAGGGAUCCGAUCGCCUGGAACCCUUCUGCUGUGUGGAGUCCCACUGAUGCUCUGACUGGAUCGCUUUGUCCUUUGCAGCCUCCCAUGGCUACAGCCCUCGAAUUUUAAACUUCAGUUUGGUAGAAACAACCUUCUGGUUGGGUGGUGCCACUUGCUGGCCAGGUGGGUGCAUUGCAUUUGACCGGCAGCAAGGUUAACCUUGUCUCUCCAUUACACUCAGUAAAAAAUAGCAUUUUCAGUAUGAAAACCCCCGAUUCCCAAUGCGGAGGUGCAAACCUGGGCUGGAAGAACGCCCCGCAGCUGUAAAAGCACUGUGGCUUUUUCUGCUUUGAAUACUUACAGCCCCAGGGGCAAAACAGUCACCCGCUCUUCCAGGAACAUAGUAGAACUUAUCUUACCCUGAAGGUCUUUGAUGCCUAUUUCUCCUUUCUCACUCCUCCUGCUGGGUUGCUGCCUAGUGACAACGUAUCACAAACUCCUAAUUUACCAUAAAAUGUUUGCUGCUCCUCAGGGCAGUUCAGCUCCUAGCGUGGGUUGGGUGUAACAGGAAGGAAGCCCACCUUGUACUGGCUUUCCUGGGCGGACUGAAUUCUCACUUCCCCCUGGUUAGUUGCUGGUUUGCAUCCCUCGCCCUGCCAUCACUAAUUAAUGCCUCUGAUUAAAAUACCACCUUGCUAAUGGGAUCUGCCACAGCACGCUUGGAAACAGAAGAGAUGGUUUCUA
Long non-coding RNA from Chelonia mydas (Green sea turtle), 739 nucleotides. RefSeq lists it as uncharacterized. Lineage: Eukaryota; Metazoa; Chordata; Testudines; Cheloniidae. The record is from RefSeq and is a predicted model, not a curated record. The transcript is spliced from 2 exons.